This is a long non-coding RNA of Scomber scombrus (Atlantic mackerel), 87 nucleotides long. RefSeq lists it as uncharacterized. The record is from RefSeq and is a predicted model, not a curated record. Lineage: Eukaryota; Metazoa; Chordata; Actinopteri; Scombriformes; Scombridae. The transcript has 3 exons.
CAGUAGUAGUAGUAUUAGUAGUAGUAGUACAGUAGUAGUAGUAUUAGUAGUAGUAGUACAGUAGUAGUAGUAUUAGUAGUAGUAGUA